UGGUGGAGUGAUUUGUCUGGUUAAUUCCGUUAACGAACGAGACCUCGACCUGCUAAAUAGUUCGGCGAAGUGUUCGCAUUUCGUACGUGACUUCUUAGAGGGACUAUCGGUGUGUAGCCGAUGGAAGUUCGAGGCAAUAACA
This 142-nucleotide ribosomal RNA is filed under the name uncultured eukaryote. RNAcentral's name for it is "partial 18S ribosomal RNA". It matches the Rfam family "Eukaryotic small subunit ribosomal RNA", at positions 1299 to 1458 of the family's 1831-position model. The record is from RNAcentral.